UAUUAAUGAUUCUCUCGAUUGUGUACAUUCUUAUCCUUGAACAUAUUCUCUCCUUUAGGAAGUAUGGUACAAUGGGAAAGAUGCUGGAUUGGAGUCCAGAUCAUGGUUUUCAUAAAUAUGAUGUGAAAACAAAUGAGAAACUUCCCUAUGACUGAUUUGAAGAAACUGAGGCAAACAGAUAUCAAAUGACUUGCCUGGGACCACUCAUCUGAAAGGCCUGGAGAGACUAACAGGAACUGAUACUGAGUGAAAUGAGCAGGGCCAGGAGAUCAUUAUAUACUUCAACAGCACUACUAUAUGAUGAUCAAUUCUGAUGGACCUGGCCAUCCUCAGCAAUGAGAUGAACCAAAUCAGUUCUAAUGGAGCAGUAAUGAACUGAACCAGCUACGCCCAGAGAAAGAACUCUGGGAGAUGACUAAGAACCAUUACAUCGAAUUCCCAAUCCCUGUAUUUUUGCCCACCUGCAUUUUGGAUUUCCUUCACAGUCUAAUUGUACACUAUUUCAGAGUCCAAUUCUUUUUGUACAGCAAAAUAAUGGUUUGGUCUAUACUUAUUGUGUAUUUAAUUUAUACUUUAAUAUAUUUAAGAUCUACUGGUCAUCCUGCCAUCUGGGG
RNAcentral lists this long non-coding RNA (614 nucleotides) under Sarcophilus harrisii (Tasmanian devil). RNAcentral's name for it is "lncRNA (ENSSHAG00000020523.1)". Lineage: Eukaryota; Metazoa; Chordata; Mammalia; Dasyuromorphia; Dasyuridae. The record is from RNAcentral.